UACGUAGGGUGCGAGCGUUGUCCGGAAUUAUUGGGCGUAAAGAGCUUGUAGGCGGUCUGUCGCGUCUGCUGUGAAAACCCGAGGCUCAACCUCGGGCCUGCAGUCGAUACGGGCAGGCUAGAGUUCGGUAGGGGAGACUGGAAUUCCUGGUGUAGCGGUGAAAUGCGCAGAUAUCAGGAGGAACACCGGUGGCGAAGGCGGGUCUCUGGGCCGAAACUGACGCUGAGGAGCGAAAGCGUGGGGAGCAAACAGG
Molecule: ribosomal RNA, 253 nt
Filed under: uncultured bacterium
Lineage: Bacteria
Description: partial 16S ribosomal RNA
Rfam family: Bacterial small subunit ribosomal RNA
Source: RNAcentral